Oryza glaberrima (African rice) is the source of this 119-nucleotide non-coding RNA. NCBI's taxonomy places the organism in Eukaryota, Viridiplantae, Streptophyta, Magnoliopsida, Poales, Poaceae. The record is from Rfam.
AGCUGCGCAGUGGGCACAGAGCGAACUAUUCUUUCGCCUUUUACUAAAGAAUACCGUGUGCUCGCUGCAAAUAGCAGCAUACUCUAAUUUUUUGAGGGGAUUUUCUAUAUAAGGAGAAC